Thalassophryne amazonica is the source of this 203-nucleotide long non-coding RNA. RefSeq lists it as uncharacterized. The record is from RefSeq and is a predicted model, not a curated record. The transcript has 5 exons. NCBI's taxonomy places the organism in Eukaryota, Metazoa, Chordata, Actinopteri, Batrachoidiformes, Batrachoididae.
UGAGAUGUCUGUUUGAAUAAUAUUGCAUAAGUGCCAGAAUCGUUCCGUUGAUGAUACAAGCACCAAAUUUGGUAUAAAAAUGAGAAGUCUUUUUCUUCAAAAAAGCCAUUAGCCACAUGAAAUUUUAAUUUUUGGGAAGUAUGAUGUUGAAGUCAUUGUUUCAUCUGUUGAACAGUCCAUUUUGGAAGUUUCCAGUCUUCAUG